AAAGCUGGGGUGCCGUUUGGCUGAGAUUAUACCCAUGAACCUGAUCUGGUCAAUACCAGCGUAGGGAGCUU
Molecule: non-coding RNA, 71 nt
Filed under: Ligilactobacillus ruminis
Lineage: Bacteria; Bacillati; Bacillota; Bacilli; Lactobacillales; Lactobacillaceae
Description: TPP riboswitch (THI element)
Rfam family: TPP riboswitch aptamer (THI element)
About the family: Vitamin B(1) in its active form thiamin pyrophosphate (TPP) is an essential coenzyme that is synthesised by coupling of pyrimidine and thiazole moieties in bacteria. The previously detected thiamin-regulatory element, thi box was extended, resulting in a new, highly conserved RNA secondary structure, the THI element, which is widely distributed in eubacteria and also occurs in some archaea.
Source: RNAcentral